GUAUGUGCCGCAACGAUAGCGUCAGCCUGGGAGCGCAGCCGAAGCGUGCGGCCCCAAGGAGCCCGGCCCUCUUAGGAGAUGCCAACUAAGAGACAACGGCCUGGUAACGGCUGGAACUUCCCAGAUGGCGAGGUGGCCUUCUUUCACACCUGAUGCAGAUUUGCAUCCCCGGACAGCCGAGAGACGCAGAUCGAUUAUAUCUGUGGCGGAGCGCUCCAUACCAGGUGGUAAAGCCGGAUCUUAGCAGUCAGUGUCGAGUGAGCGAGGCGGUCCACUUGCAUUACGCCGAACCCCCUCGCA
Corvus hawaiiensis (hawaiian crow) is the source of this 300-nucleotide long non-coding RNA. RefSeq lists it as uncharacterized. NCBI's taxonomy places the organism in Eukaryota, Metazoa, Chordata, Aves, Passeriformes, Corvidae. The record is from RefSeq and is a predicted model, not a curated record. The transcript is spliced from 5 exons.